This 496-nucleotide ribosomal RNA is filed under the name uncultured bacterium. Its description in RNAcentral is "partial 16S ribosomal RNA". It matches the Rfam family "Bacterial small subunit ribosomal RNA", at positions 28 to 506 of the family's 1533-position model. The record is from RNAcentral.
GAUGAACGCUGGCGGCGUGCCUAAUACAUGCAAGUCGAGCGAACGGACGAGAAGCUUGCUUCUCUGAUGUUAGCGGCGGACGGGUGAGUAACACGUGGAUAACCUACCUAUAAGACUGGGAUAACUUCGGGAAACCGGAGCUAAUACCGGAUGAUAUUUUGAACCGCAUGGUUCAAAAGUGAAAGACGGUCUUGCUGUCACUUAUAGAUGGAUCCGCGCUGCAUUAGCUAGUUGGUAAGGUAACGGCUUACCAAGGCAACGAUGCAUAGCCGACCUGAGAGGGUGAUCGGCCACACUGGACCUGAGACCCGGUCCAGACUCCUACGGGAGGCAGCAGUAGGGAAUCUUCCACAAUGGGCGAAAGCCUGACGGAGCAACGCCGCGUGAGUGAUGAAGGUCUUCGGAUCGUAAAACUCUGUUAUUAGGGAAGAACAUAUGUGUAAGUAACUGUGCACAUCUUGACGGUACCUAAUCAGAAAGCCACGGCUAACUACGU